This 482-nucleotide ribosomal RNA is filed under the name uncultured bacterium. RNAcentral's name for it is "partial 16S ribosomal RNA". It matches the Rfam family "Bacterial small subunit ribosomal RNA", at positions 30 to 507 of the family's 1533-position model. The record is from RNAcentral.
AUUGAACGCUGGCGGCAUGCCUUACACAUGCAAGUCGAACGGUAACAGGUCUUCGGAUGCUGACGAGUGGCGCACGGGUGAGUAAUACAUCGGAACGUGCCCAGACGUGGGGGAUAACGAGGCGAAAGCUUUGCUAAUACCGCAUACGAUCUGAGGAUGAAAGCAGGGGACCGCAAGGCCUUGUGCGGUUGGAGCGGCCGAUGGCAGAUUAGGUAGUUGGUGGGAUAAAAGCUUACCAAGCCGACGAUCUGUAGCUGGUCUGAGAGGACGACCAGCCACACUGGGACUGAGACACGGCCCAGACUCCUACGGGAGGCAGCGGUGGGGAAUUUUGGACAAUGGGCGAAAGCCUGAUCCAGCAAUGCCGCGUGCAGGAUGAAGGCCUUCGGGUUGUAAACUGCUUUUGUACGGAACGAAAAGGCUCUGGCUAAUACCUGGGGCACAUGACGGUACCGUAAGAAUAAGCACCGGCUAACUACGUG